ACACUGACUCUAACACUCACAUUCACAAACUUUCUCACUCAAGUCUUACACUCACGGCAAGAACCGUUGGGCGGUCACGUGGCCACUCGUUGAGUGGGGAGGAGAGAUAGGGGCGUGGCCAUAGCCGUGGAGGUGAGUGACGUCACUGCACACGUGACUUCCGUGUAGUGAGACGUGCAGAGAAGGUAGCAGCAGUAGCAGCACAAGUUGCCGAGCUCUUGCGAUUCUUUACGGGGAGUCGAGACGAGGAGGAGGGGGCACGAUGGCCAAGGCUGAAGAGAAGGUGGGCUCCAGGAGCGACGUGCAAUGGAGUGCGCUGCCCACAUCGGACGGCGUUGCCAUCGCCAGUAGUAAAACCCCACGAGAAAUCUUGAAGCUCUUUGGGGAUUUCCUGACCCCCACCGAGAGAAGCGAGGUCCUCACCGUGAAUAACGUCUGGUAUUUCGGCAUCCAUAA
Non-coding RNA from Petromyzon marinus (sea lamprey), 456 nucleotides. Lineage: Eukaryota; Metazoa; Chordata; Hyperoartia; Petromyzontiformes; Petromyzontidae. The record is from RefSeq and is a predicted model, not a curated record.